UCUCACCACUAGUUUUCGGCGUUUUAAUUGGCGUUGGUGGACGUGCUGGCGGUGGAGGCGUAUCGAUCUUCGCAGCAGGAGCCGGCGGCGUCGGUAGUUUCGCCGCCGGUUUAUGCGGUUGCGGAGCUUCUGCAGUUUUCGGGGACGGGGAAAUCCUUCUGGAAACUGCUCCACCUGUUGUUUGGCAGCGGGCGCUGACCGCUGAUUUUCAGGACUCUCGUGGUCUUUAGCUGCACUUUCAGCUGCUCUUUCGUGAAUCCUGUGCAAUUUUAGGUUGGUGAUCUGAAAUUUUGCCUAAAUUGAAAUAAAUUGAUGAAUCACACAUGACAUACCGGGGAGAUAGAGGAGGAGAGUGUUGCAAUCUUCCUCUUGUAUCAAAUCGGAAGCCGGCUGAAAGAGGGAAAGAACAGAGGUUGCUUUUGUUUGGAACUACCCCACCCACACCCUCCACCUCCACGGUUUCGAUUUCUCUUUUCUCCUUUGUACUCCGUCAUCAACCAUAUGCUAGCUCACUUACUGAACCGAGUUAUUACAAGGUAGUAGAAAAAAUUGUCAAAGAAGUAGUUUGAACUUUGAAAUGAAUUGAUGUUUUUAGACUAAA
This is a long non-coding RNA of Salvia hispanica, 601 nucleotides long. RefSeq lists it as uncharacterized. Lineage: Eukaryota; Viridiplantae; Streptophyta; Magnoliopsida; Lamiales; Lamiaceae. The record is from RefSeq and is a predicted model, not a curated record.